This 342-nucleotide ribosomal RNA is filed under the name Triticum aestivum (bread wheat). RNAcentral's name for it is "partial small subunit ribosomal RNA". Lineage: Eukaryota; Viridiplantae; Streptophyta; Magnoliopsida; Poales; Poaceae. The record is from RNAcentral.
AUGGCUGAGAAUGUUCAGACAGCCGCGCUGAAGGCUCAGAUUGACGCAGAGGCGGAGCGUGUAAAGGUGGAUGCUUGGCACUUAAGUUUGGAUCAGAACGCGUCUGAUGCAGUUUUUCAGAGAAGGUACCAGAAUUUCCUACCGUUGAUGUACAAUUCAAGGCGUUUGUUUGACAUCCCUGGAGCAGGUCCAAGCACUCCAGAUGCACGGGUGAGUCCCCAGUUAAACCCAGAUAUGCCAAGGAAUCGGGUUGUGGCUCAACCUUACCAGCCUGAGCUGGCACGGAGGGAGGAGCGGGCGCCUAACCCGCCCCCAAUCAGACACCGUCUCAACGUGUCCUGA